This 280-nucleotide ribosomal RNA is filed under the name Escherichia coli. RNAcentral describes it as "partial 23S ribosomal RNA". It matches the Rfam family "Bacterial large subunit ribosomal RNA", at positions 2663 to 2925 of the family's 2925-position model. The record is from RNAcentral. Lineage: Bacteria; Pseudomonadati; Pseudomonadota; Gammaproteobacteria; Enterobacterales; Enterobacteriaceae.
UGAGGGGGGCUGCUCCUAGUACGAGAGGACCGGAGUGGACGCAUCACUGGUGUUCGGGUUGUCAUGCCAAUGGCACUGCCCGGUAGCUAAAUGCGGAAGAGAUAAGUGCUGAAAGCAUCUAAGCACGAAACUGGCCCCGAGAUGAGUUCUCCCUGACUCCUUGAGAGUCCUGAAGGAACGUUGAAGACGACGACGUUGAUAGGCCGGGUGUGUAAGCGCAGCGAUGCGUUGAGCUAACCGGUACUAAUGAACCGUGAGGCUUAACCUUACAACGCCGAAG